Molecule: ribosomal RNA, 246 nt
Filed under: uncultured bacterium
Lineage: Bacteria
Description: partial 16S ribosomal RNA
Rfam family: Bacterial small subunit ribosomal RNA
Source: RNAcentral
GCGCUCCUACGGGGCGCAACAGUAGGGAAUCUUCCACAAUGGACGAAAGUCUGAUGGAGCAACGCCGCGUGAGUGAAGAAGGGUUUCGGCUCGUAAAGCUCUGUUGGUAGUGAAGAAAGAUAGAGGUAGUAACUGGCCUUUAUUUGACGGUAAUUACUUAGAAAGUCACGGCUAACUACGUGCCAGCAGCCGCGGGAAUACGGAGGUGGCAAGCGUUGUCCGGAUUUAUUGGGCGUAAAGCGAGUG